Non-coding RNA from Hyposmocoma kahamanoa, 72 nucleotides. The record is from the annotation of a RefSeq genome assembly. NCBI's taxonomy places the organism in Eukaryota, Metazoa, Arthropoda, Insecta, Lepidoptera, Cosmopterigidae.
GGCUUGUUGGUCUAGAGGUUAUGACGCUCGUCUUCUGUGCGUGAGACCCGGGUUCGAAUCCCGGACGAGCCC